RNAcentral lists this ribosomal RNA (632 nucleotides) under uncultured soil archaeon. RNAcentral's name for it is "bacterial SSU rRNA". It matches the Rfam family "Archaeal small subunit ribosomal RNA", at positions 228 to 865 of the family's 1478-position model. The record is from RNAcentral.
AGUUGUUGAUGAGGUAAUGGCUCACCAAGCCUUUAACCGGUUCGGGCCGUGGGAGCGGUAGCCCGGAGAUGGGCACUGAGACAAGGGCCCAGGCCCUACGGGGCGCAGCAGUCGCGAAAACUUCGCAAUAAGCGAAAGCUUGACGGGGCCAUCCCGAGUGCCAUCUGCUGAGGAUGGCUUUUACCCAGUAUAGAUAGUUGGGGGAAUAAGGAGAGGGCAAGUCUGGUGUCAGCCGCCGCGGUAAUACCAGCUCUCCGAGUUGUGGGGACGUUUAUUGAGCCUAAAGCAUCCGUAGCCGGCUGGGCAAGUCCUCUGUUAAAUCCAGCGACAAAUCGUUGGCCUGCGGGGGAUACUGCUCGGCUAGGGGGCGGGAGAGGCCGUCGGUAUUCUUGGGGUAGGGGUGAAAUCCUAUAAUCCCAGGAGGACCACCAGUGGCGAAGGCUGUCGGCUAGAACGCGCCCGACGGUGAGGGAUGAAAGCUGGGGGAGCGAACCGGAUUAGAUACCCGGGUAGUCCCAGCUGUAAACGAUGCAGGCUAGGUGUUAGGGCGGCUACGUGCCGCUCUAGUGCCGCAGGGAAGCUGUUAAGCCUGCCGCUUGGGGAGACCGNCCGGCAGGCUGACUUAAAGGCCA